GGCUCAGUAACACGUGGAUGAUCUACCCUAGUGCCCAGAAUAAUCUCGGAAAACUGAGCAUAUCUGGAUAAGUAAUAAAAUCUGGAAUGAUUUAUUACUCAAAGUUUUAACGUACUAGGAUGAGUUGGCGGCUGAUUAGGUUGUUGGCGGGGUAACGGCCCACCACGCCUGAGAUCAGUACGGGCCAUGAAAGUGGUAGCCCGGAGAGGGUCACUGAGAAACUGGACCCAGCCCUACGGGGUGCAGCAGGCGCGAACCUCUUCAAUGCACGACAGUGUAAAGGGGAUCCUACGUGCUUAUGCUCAGCAUACGCUUUUGUAAAGUGUAAAUAACUUUACGAAUAAGGGUGGAAAGACUGGUGCCAGCAGCCGCGGUAACACCAGCGCCCCAAGUGGCAAUCGUUUUUAUUGGGCCUAAAGCGUCCGUAGCCGGAUUGGCAAAUCUUUUGUGAAAUCGCUCGGCUUAACCGAGUGGCGUGCAGAAGACACUACCUUUCUAGGGACCGGAGGAGUCAGAAGUAUUCUGGGGGGAGCGGUAAAAUGUUAUAAUCCCCGAAAGACUACCAGUGGCGAAGGCGUCUGACUAGAACGGAUCCGACGGUGAGGGACGAAGGCUAGGGGAGCAAACCGGAUUAGAUACCCGAGUAGUCCUAGCAGUAAACUCUGUAUGCAAGGUAUUGCGCAUCUUUGUAGUUGUGCAGUAUCGAAGAGAAGUCGUUAAGCAUACCGCCUGGGAAGUACGGUCGCAAGACUGAAACUCAAAGGAAUUGAC
This 771-nucleotide ribosomal RNA is filed under the name uncultured archaeon. Its description in RNAcentral is "bacterial SSU rRNA". It matches the Rfam family "Archaeal small subunit ribosomal RNA", at positions 87 to 869 of the family's 1478-position model. The record is from RNAcentral.